Molecule: ribosomal RNA, 484 nt
Filed under: uncultured bacterium
Lineage: Bacteria
Description: partial 16S ribosomal RNA
Rfam family: Bacterial small subunit ribosomal RNA
Source: RNAcentral
AUUGAACGCUGGCGGCAUGCUUUACACAUGCAAGUCGAACGGCAGCGCGGGCUUCGGCCUGGCGGCGAGUGGCGAACGGGUGAGUAAUACAUCGGAACGUGCCCAGUAGUGGGGGAUAGCUCGGCGAAAGCCGGAUUAAUACCGCAUACGACCUGAGGGUGAAAGCGGGGGAUCUUCGGACCUCGCGCUAUUGGAGCGGCCGAUGGCAGAUUAGCUAGUUGGUGGGGUAAAGGCCUACCAAGGCGACGAUCUGUAGCUGGUCUGAGAGGACGACCAGCCACACUGGGACUGAGACACGGCCCAGACUCCUACGGGAGGCAGCAGUGGGGAAUUUUGGACAAUGGGCGAAAGCCUGAUCCAGCAAUGCCGCGUGUGUGAUGAAGGCCUUCGGGUUGUAAAGCACUUUUGGCGGGAACGAAAAGGACUGUGCCAAUGCCACGGUUCGAUGACGGUACCCGCAGAAUAAGCACCGGCUAACUACGUG